UUUUCAUUACACACACUCGAAAAAAUCCCGGGAGACUCUUUAGGUAAAAAUCUUAUCCACCUUCUUCUUCUUCUUCUUCUUCUUCUUUGUGUUGAAGCUUCUCUUGUUCCACUCUGCAACCGUGGCUUUGUUUUUCCUCUUGCUGACUUCAAUGCCGGACGAAACCAAUCAAACAAUGCAUUUCAGCUUCAAUUGUUGAUUAACCUUAUAGAAAUGGCCUUUGCAACUGCCAAACUAUCUGAACUUCCAUUCAAGACCUCAUUUCCACUCUCCUCCCACUCCCGUACACUUCUCUCAAAUCAUCCCAAUUUCUCUUUGCAGAUUCUUAACACUUUCUCUUCUCUCCGUACCCACACUGAGCAUAGCGGCAAAAGAAUCCCUAAAACCUCCCACAAUUCUGCAUCCCCUUCUUCUUCUUCUUCUUCUUCUUCUUCUUCUUCUUCUACUUGGGUCUCCAAAUGGCCUCCUGGGAGCUCGCGGAAUGAUCGUAAAGUCGAGAAGAAGGUGGUCCAACCGUCCCGAUAUGAUCGGACUGAUCGAGCGGAGAAUCAGACCGAGUACUUAGAUAAGGAUAAGGGGCAGACUGCAAUUGAGCGAAUCGUGCUUCGCUUACGGAAUUUAGGGAUAGGUUCAGAUGAUGAGGACGAGGACGAGGAGGAUGGAGAUGAUAACGGAUUGUAUUCUCGCGAGGCAAGGCUGGUGACUGGGGAGGAAACACUUGGGGAUUUACUUCAACGUGAAUGGAUUCGACCCGAUGCCUCAUUGUAUUCGAAUGAGGAUGGGGAGGAUGGAAUGGUUUUACCUUGGGAAAGAGAGGAGGAAAGGGGUGAAGAGGAGGAGUGUGGAAGGGGGUCGAAGAGGAGAAAGAUGAAGGCUCCGACAUUAGCUGAAUUGACUAUUGAAGAUGAGGAGCUGAGGCGAUUGAGGAGAAUGGGGAUGUUUAUUAGAGAGCGGAUUAAUGUACCGAAAGCGGGGAUUACACAGGCAGUGUUGGAGAAGAUUCAUGGGAAAUGGAGGAAGGAGGAAUUGGUAAGGCUUAAGUUCCAUGAGGAGCUUGCGCAUGAUAUGAAGACAGCACAUGAGAUUGUAGAGCGACGAACUGGGGGAUUGGUUCUAUGGAGGUCUGGAAGUGUUAUGGUUGUUUACCGCGGUAGUAACUAUGAAGGACCUUCUAAAACUAAACCCGUUACAAGGGAGGGAGAUGGGGUAUUCAUCCCAGAUGUUUCUUCUGCUGCCACUUCAACAAGUGACAAUGUUGCAGCUUCAGCUCCAGAGAAGACUACGAUGCCGAUUGGGCCUCCAAAGUCUAACGACGGCUUGUCAGAGGAAGAAGCUGAAUACAACCAACUAUUAGAUGGUUUAGGUCCUCGUUUUGUUGAAUGGUGGGGCACAGGAGUGCUUCCUGUUGAUGCCGAUCAGCUUCCUCCAAUUGUUCCUGGUUACAAAACUCCUUUCAGGCUUCUUCCAACUGGAAUGCGUUCUCGACUUACCAAUGCAGAGAUGACUCAGAUGAGGAAACUUGCAAAAUCCUUACCUUGUCAUUUUGCCCUUGGGAGAAAUAGGAACCAUCAGGGUUUGGCUGUUGCUAUACUUAAACUUUGGGAAAAAAGCCUAGUAGUUAAAAUUGCUGUCAAAAGAGGCAUACAGAACACCAAUAAUAAACUCAUGGCCGAGGAGAUAGGGAACUUAACAGGAGGUGUGUUACUAUUGAGGAAUAAAUAUUUUAUCGUCAUAUACCGUGGGAAGGAUUUUCUCCCACCAAGUGUAGCUGUAGCUUUGGCAGAAAGGCAGGAAUUAACGAAAAAGAUUCAAGAUGUGGAAGAGAAAGCUCGAAGUAAAGCGGUCGAGGCAACUUCAUCAAGCAUUGAUGGACAGGCACCUGCAGGUACCUUGGCCGAAUUCUAUGAGGCUCAGUCCAGGUGGGGAAGGGAAAUAACUGCUGAAGACCGUGAAAAAAUGGUUGAAGAAAGCUCCAGAGCAAAAACUGCAAGACUUGUCAGACGAAUUGAACACAAGCUAGGUGUUGCCCAAGCGAAGAAACUUAGAGCAGAAAAAUUGCUAUCUAAAAUCGAAGCAUCCAUGGUUCUUUCUAGCCCCGAUGAUGACCAGGAAACAAUAACAGAUGAGGAACGAGUCAUGUUUCGGAGGGUUGGGUUACGAAUGACCGCAUAUUUACCUAUGGGCAUUCGUGGUGUCUUUGAUGGUGUUGUUGAAAACAUGCAUUUACACUGGAAGCAUAGAGAGCUUGUGAAGUUAAUUAGCAAGCAAAAAACACUUGCUUUUGUGGAAGAAACUGCAAGAUUGUUAGAGUAUGAGAGUGGUGGAAUACUUGUUUCGAUAGAUAGAGUUCCAAAAGGAUAUGCCCUUGUUUACUAUCGUGGAAAGAAUUAUCGUCGACCCAUUACCUUGAGACCAAGAAACUUACUUACAAAGGCAAAAGCAUUAAAGCGCUCAGUUGCCAUGCAGCGUCACGAGGCUCUCAGUCAGCACAUAUCUGAACUCGAGAAAAACAUAGAGCAAAUGAAGAAAGAAAUUGGUGUCACUGAAGAUUCAGAUGAUGAAAAUAAAUUGACGUCUCAGGAUCGGCUUGUCUCAGAAUCUUUCCACGACAAGGAAGCAUAUUUGUCCGCGUUUUCAGAUGUUGACAAUGAUGAAGAUAGCAAUGAUGAAGACAGUGAAUAUGAAGAGGAUGAAGAUGACGAUUUUGAUUUUUCCGACUCAGAAAGCACUGAUGAUCUACUGAACUAGGUUGUGAGAGCAUUUUCAAGUUGUGAACAGAUGGAGUGCUCUUAUUGCAAUUGCGUAUUUUCAGUUCCUUGCUUCUAUAACUAAAUCGAACGUCCUCAUUUCGAUCUCCAUACCAGGUUGAAUGAUGUGGAAAAUAAAAAUCCGAAACCCAAUUUCUGCCUAAGUUGACUCGAACAUUUACAAGAAGUACUGGGUCAUUUGCUUCAAGUUCAAUCCAAAACGGAUAUGAUUCAUUUUCUUCUUUGAAGAAUGGAGUAAUGGGUUCCUCUAGGUUCUGUAGAGACAUUAUUCUUUUUCUAAUCUUUCCUUCUCAUUUUUUUUUGUAAAUUCAAUUCGGAUAACUUCUCUCUUCUGCAAAUUUACUUUUUAGCUCACAAAGUGCAGGAAUUAUGUAUGAAUUCAGCCAAUAUCUGGUUCUAUGCCACUUCCAAAUGGGUUCCCUUUUGGUAAUACAUUGUGUAUGUGAUUCCUUGCUUGUUAAAAAUAAAAUAAGGUAUCAAAGGUCCCUAUUUGAA
Molecule: RNA transcript, 3263 nt
Organism: Cucumis melo (muskmelon)
Lineage: Eukaryota; Viridiplantae; Streptophyta; Magnoliopsida; Cucurbitales; Cucurbitaceae
Gene name: CRM-domain containing factor CFM3, chloroplastic/mitochondrial
Exons: 10
Source: RefSeq, a predicted model, not a curated record